UGGCGGCUGCUUUACACAUGCAAGUCUGAACUGUAACAGGGAGCUUGCUCCGCUGACGAGUGGCGAACGGGUGAGUAAUAUAUCGGAACGUACCCAAGAGUGGGGGAUAACGUAGCGAAAGUUACGCUAAUACCGCAUACGAUCCAAGGAUGAAAGCAGGGGACCGCAAGGCCUUGUGCUCCUGGAGCGGCCGAUAUCUGAUUAGCUAGUUGGUAGGGUAAAGGCCUACCAAGGCAUCGAUCAGUAGCUGGUCUGAGAGGACGACCAGCCACACUGGAACUGAGACACGGUCCAGACUCCUACGGGAGGCAGCAGUGGGGAAUUUUGGACAAUGGGCGCAAGCCUGAUCCAGCAAUGCCGCGUGAGUGAAGAAGGCCUUCGGGUUGUAAAGCUCUUUUGUCAGGGAAGAAACGGGUGCGGCUAAUAUCUGCAUCUAAUGACGGUACCUGAAGAAUAAGCACCGGCUAACUACGUGCCAGCAGCCGCGGUAAUACGUAGGGUGCAAGCGUUAAUCGGAAUUACUGGGCGUAAAGCGUGCGCAGGCGGUUUUGUAAGUCUGUUGUGAAAUCCCCGGGCUUAACCUGGGAAUGGCAAUGGAGACUGCAAGGCUAGAGUUUGGCAGAGGGGGGUAGAAUUCCACGUGUAGCAGUGAAAUGCGUAGAGAUGUGGAGGAACACCGAUGGCGAAGGCAGCCCCCUGGGUCAAGACUGACGCUCAUGCACGAAAGCGUGGGGAGCAAACAGGAUUAGAUACCCUGGUAGUCCACGCCCUAAACGAUGUCUACUAGUUGUCGGGUCUUAAUUGACUUGGUAACGCAGCUAACGCGUGAAGUAGACCGCCUGGGGAGUACGGUCGCAAGAUUAAAACUCAAAGGAAUUGACGGGGACCCGCACAAGCGGUGGAUGAUGUGGAUUAAUUCGAUGCAACGCGAAAAACCUUACCUACCCUUGACAUGUACGGAAGCCACGAGAGAUCGAGGUGUGCUCGAAAGAGAACCGUAACACAGGUGCUGCAUGGCUGUCGUCAGCUCGUGUCGUGAGAUGUUGGGUUAAGUCCCGCAACGAGCGCAACCCUUGUCAUUAGUUGCUACGAAAGAGCACUCUAAUGAGACUGCCGGUGACAAACCGGAGGAAGGUGAGGAUGACGUCAAGUCCUCAUGGCCCUUAUGGGUAGGGCUUCACACGUCAUACAAUGGUACA
This 1199-nucleotide ribosomal RNA is filed under the name uncultured bacterium. RNAcentral's name for it is "bacterial SSU rRNA". It matches the Rfam family "Bacterial small subunit ribosomal RNA", at positions 37 to 1237 of the family's 1533-position model. The record is from RNAcentral.